This 400-nucleotide ribosomal RNA is filed under the name uncultured bacterium. RNAcentral describes it as "bacterial SSU rRNA". It matches the Rfam family "Bacterial small subunit ribosomal RNA", at positions 356 to 773 of the family's 1533-position model. The record is from RNAcentral.
GGGGAAUAUUGGACAAUGGGCGAAAGCCUGAUCCAGCAAUGCCGCGUGGGUGAAGAAGGUCUUCGGAUUGUAAAGCCCUUUCGGCGGGGACGAUGAUGACGGUACCCGCAGAAGAAGCCCCGGCUAACUUCGUGCCAGCAGCCGCGGUAAUACGAAGGGGGCUAGCGUUGCUCGGAAUGACUGGGCGUAAAGGGCGCGUAGGCGGCGCACUUAGUCAGGCGUGAAAGUCCUGGGCUCAACCUGGGGACGGCGCUUGAUACGGGUGUGCUUGAGUGUGGAAGAGGGUUGUGGAAUUCCCAGUGUAGAGGUGAAAUUCGUAGAUAUUGGGAAGAACACCGGUGGCGAAGGCGGCAACCUGGUCCAUUACUGACGCUGAGGCGCGAAAGCGUGGGGAGCAAAC